RNAcentral lists this long non-coding RNA (648 nucleotides) under Equus asinus (donkey). RNAcentral describes it as "lncRNA (ENSEASG00005029379.1)". The record is from RNAcentral. Lineage: Eukaryota; Metazoa; Chordata; Mammalia; Perissodactyla; Equidae.
GGAAGAGUGUUGAACUACCUGACCCACCUGAUGUGUGUGCUUAAAACUGAGUCCUAGAUUCUGACUGAAACCAAGAUGGGUCUCCAAGGCCUGCCGUCAGAGAGACAUUUCUGUACCUGGACAGAGCUCCCUGCCGAGCCCAGAGGCACAAAGAUAACAGAAUAUUAAACGAGGAAAGACUGGACACCGCAACUUCCCCACUGGUUCUGAUUGGAAGACUAAGGGAGAGGUCGCAGAAGAUCAAUACAACAAAGUUCUCUUCCCUGAACCUGGGCAAAGAGUUCAACGCAUUCUUCCCGAGGUCAUGAGGAGCUCAUCUAGCUGCUUUCUGGAAAGGCUGUGGCAAGAUUCAGCUCUCAUUCCAUCAGAUAUGCUGGCUGCUGUUGGUUUGGAGGAAGUUCUACACCGAGACUAGACUGAUGGAUGGAAUUUAAUCACUCCUAAAGAGGAAAGAAUCUAUGGUGCCACCUAGAGAACAGGAUUCUUGCUAUUCAAAGUGGUGGGGGGUGCCAGGGUUCACACCACGCCCUGGGUGGUAAGUUUCCAGACACAUUCAAGAGGUGUUUUAUCUUUUGACGCUUAGAUGGCUCCCUACUGAGGAUAAACCAACUUAGAGGAGACAGAGACUGCUGUUUGCAGUGGAGCGGG